This 107-nucleotide small nuclear RNA is filed under the name Erinaceus europaeus (western European hedgehog). Lineage: Eukaryota; Metazoa; Chordata; Mammalia; Eulipotyphla; Erinaceidae. The record is from RNAcentral.
GUGCUUCCUUCAGCAGCACAUAUACUAAAAUUGGAACAAUGCAGAGAAGAUUAGCAUGGCCCCUGCACAAGGAUGACACACAAAUUUGUGAGACAUUUAUAUAUCUA